AGUGAACGCUGGCGGUAGGCCUAACACAUGCAAGUCGAACGGCAGCACAGUAAGAGCUUGCUCUUACGGGUGGCGAGUGGCGGACGGGUGAGGAAUACAUCGGAAUCUACUUUUUCGUGGGGGAUAACGUAGGGAAACUUACGCUAAUACCGCAUACGACCUACGGGUGAAAGCAGGGGAUCUUCGGACCUUUCGCGAUUGAAUGAGCCGAUGUCGGAUUAGCUAGUUGGCGGGGUAAAGGCCCACCAAGGCAACGCUCCGUAGCUGGCCUGAGAGGAUGUCCAGCAAAAUGGGACUUGGGCACGGGUCAAGAUCCCAAGGGGAGCAACAAGUGGGAAUUAUUGGCAAAUGGGGGAAGGCCUGACCAGGCAAUCCGGCGUGGGUGAAGAGGGCUUCGGGGUUGUAAAGCCCUUUUGUUGGGAAAGAAAAGCGGCAGGUUAAUACCCCGCUGUUUGGCGGUACCCAAAAGAAUAAGCACGGGUAACUUCGUG
This 491-nucleotide ribosomal RNA is filed under the name uncultured bacterium. RNAcentral describes it as "partial 16S ribosomal RNA". It matches the Rfam family "Bacterial small subunit ribosomal RNA", at positions 29 to 507 of the family's 1533-position model. The record is from RNAcentral.